UUCUGGGAAUGAAAAAGACAAGCGUAUAAAAAAAUUAAUUACAUCUUGUUAUAUGUCAGAAAUCAGUAGAAAGGAAAGAUAGAGCUGGACACCCACUGAGUCACAAUCAUGGUAUGGCAAGCAUUUUGAUAAGAGAGAAUAUUAUACGUCACAUUGUCACCACCGUUCUGUCAGUCAUUGGUGACUAUGGCCAUAUGAGGCCCGGAAUCAUGCACAGCUGCUCAGCACAGCAUCCAAACCAAAGAACAGAGCAAGAUCUUGUGUUUGACCCGUUAUUUUAAAAAUCCAAAAUAAUAUUUUCCUUUCAUAGUGCAGAAAUGGGUUGAAUUUUUUACUUUGUAGCUUUGGAUUUUGUGUUCAAAAUUUAAAGAUGACACAACCUGUCAUCUCUUAUUUAUGCUCUUAUUUCUCAAAAAUUGGUUACUGGUAGGCUGAAAUAUGUUUUUGGAUAUAUCUGAAAAAUAUUCUCUUCUACUUGCAAAAUGGCAAGCCUCUCUUACAAGCCUAUGAAAGAGUAGUUAAGGGAGAGUUCGUGAGUGUUAGUUUUACGUAGCUGUCACUCCUUUGGGCCCAUAAUUGAGAUUAAAUGACAGGUAUGGGAUUUUCAUCAGAAGAAAUCCCUGGAAGUUUGAUGAAAAACAGGGAAAAAAACCCUGAAUUAAUUUACACAGCCUAACAUAUGAUCAUAAUUUUGGGGGGAUGUGUCUUGCUGUUGGUAAAAUUUAGAAAAAUCCACACAUAUUAUUUUAACUGAAGUAUAGUCUCAUGAAAUGUAUGUGGUUGUGUGGUUAAGUGUUUAUGGGAACUUCUCAGUUUCUGCUGUUCGGCCUGCUUUCAAAAUAUUCAAAUAUAUUUGGCUUUUGUAACUUCGCUAAUUAAACCUUCUAAAACAGAUGGAAUUAUAGAAAUUACAGGGUUUAAAAUAUCAUUUUAAUUGGUUUACGAUCUAUGUGACACAUAGUGCCAUUCAUACUGUAUAAAAUAUAUACGGAUGACUCGAAAGAGAUAGCAUACCAAUUAAUUUUUCUUUAACUCUCAAUUAAAUCAUGUUGUCUUCCUUAUUUAAUCCCCUUUCCAUUAGCCUGGCUCCAAGCUGGUCUGAUCAACCUUAACUGAAGAUACAGGUUGUAUCCUGCAACAGUAUCGGUUUGGGCCCUCAUGGGUGACAGAAAAGUAUCACAGUACUGGUUCCUGUUUGAACACACAUGUUCUCUGGGUCUCGCCUUGCAGCGGGAGGAAAGAAGAGGAUGGAAUCACCACACUCCCACAGCAAGCAAGGGCAAUCUUUAAAGGCAGUAAGGUGUGACGCUCCAGACUGGCAGCUUGGCAAGACGGAGCCCAUGGAUACCAGCACACGGGAAUCUGGACCGUUCACUCUGACAGCAGUCAGCACUGGGAACAAAAGGAAUGGAGGGAAAAAAGCGCAAAUGUAUUUUUACAUAUUGUAGGCAUAUGGCCACAAGACCAGCAGAAAUAUAUUUAAUUACCAAUUGCGCGUAUUGAGGAGAAAAACACUGGGAAGGAAAAAAAAAACCUGUGUACACAGCAAUAUUAUUCUACUUUAACUUUUCACCUCCUUUUUUUUUUUAAAUUGAAGAUACAAGAGAUGUGGAUUAGAAUCAAAAAGUGUUAUCUGCUGGAAUCCUAUCAAAGAGCAACCUCCAGCUGUCUGCCUCCUGUCUGUUCAGAAGCUUUUGGUGAUGAAGGUGGAGCCCAUAAGAAGGAAACUGAUGCAUGCACUCACCAGUGCAGGAAGGUGAUAUACAGGUCAACUCAUUCCACAGCAUUGAUCCCCUGUGAGGUCCCAGGCUCAGAGAUGGGUGCUUGCUUGGUAAGGUGAGAAAGAAAUGUGCUGGAUAUGGGGAAAUUCAGAGUGUGGGUGCACUUGUGAAAGGCAGGGGACUUUGGUGGCUCCGAAUAAUACUUGAUAUGUAUUCUACUCAUUAGUAAUUAUCAUAUGGCUGAGCUACAGAUAUGUGGGCUUAGUUGGAAUCUUGUACGUAGGCUUCAAUAAUGUCACUUCAGACAUUCAUUGAUUCUAAGGGACAAGACUUUUGAACACCCCUUAGGAUCUCAUUGCAUGGUUACCAGGUCUCAUUAUUAUAAAGGAGUUAUUUCUUUUUUACAUAUACCUUCCCCUUAGCCAAUAAAAACUAUUUUAGUAUUUCUGUCUUUGAGCUGGACAAAGUUCGUCUCUCUGGUCUCCCUUAAAAACACCUAGAACAGGACCUCUUUCUGAAGUCUGUAAAGCGUUCAGAGUGGAAUGCAAUGGUAAGCUCUGCAUCCAGGAACCCUGGCCAGCUGCCCAAGGUUGGUGACCUAGCCACCGCAGCCAUCUAGGCUGAUUGUCAGUCACCCCGGUGACCUGACAAAUACUUCUGCCAAAUGGAGAUAUUUGAAUCUGGUUAGAAGCUGAAGAUUCAUUCAGUCAUUGUUCAAGAUUAACAAAGACAAUGGUGAGCAGAAUCCACGAGUCAUGAGAAACCUGAGGCAGAGACUACAAGGAAAGUCUGUUGGAAGUGGAGUCAUCUUAGCAAAUACAGAGCAGCUGUGUGGCCAUAAUGGCGGGUCACUGGAAUGAACAGCGAUGUUCACUUGCCAUGGAGAGGAAAGGGAAACCAAGUGACUCAACCUGGCUAGUGUCUUAAAAGCUGAUCCAGGGUCCAUGAGUGUAACUAGGAAGCUGUUUCCUGCAUUCUUCAGUUCCCGCAUUCAGCCUUUUAAGAAGCCCUGUUAAUUGAAGUAAACUGAGUGACCCUCAUCUAUGUGAAAGAGCUAACAUAUCUUUUAUAUGCUUGAAAUCAUUUCUCACCUUUCUCAGAUUAAGGCUAAAAAAUUUAAUUUCUAUUAGUAUUUUUUAUUCUCACAAAUUUUUUUGAUAAGUUUUCAUUAGCCAUGCUCUUUCUCAUCCUGUCAUUUGCCUUUUGGAACUGUUAUAUUUUUUUUUUAUUUUUUAAAAUGUUUUCACUUUUAUUGAGGUAUAAUUGUCAAAUAAAAUUGCGAGAUACUGAUGUGAUGAUUUUAUAUACGUAUACGUUGUGUAUACCAACAAUUUUCUUUUAAGUAAACGCUAUGCCCAAUGUGGGGCUCGAACUAACUACCCCGAGAUCUAGUUGCAUGUUCUACAGUCUGAGCCAGCCAGGUGCCCCUUUAUAAUUUUUUUUAAAGGUUUUAUUUAUUUAUUUGACAGA
Long non-coding RNA from Ailuropoda melanoleuca (giant panda), 3191 nucleotides. RefSeq lists it as uncharacterized. The record is from RefSeq and is a predicted model, not a curated record. Lineage: Eukaryota; Metazoa; Chordata; Mammalia; Carnivora; Ursidae. The transcript is spliced from 5 exons.